AGCUGCCCCACACGGCUCUGGGCCCGGGCACACCUGCACUCCGCCUCGCUCAGCCGGCUGCUCAGGGUGGCCAUCUGGACACAGGAGUCGUCCUGGGCAGAAGGACUGAGGCCCAUUUCGGGGAGGGCAGCCCAGAGACAUGCGUGCACCUGGGUGGAAUGACCUCUGCGUGGUGUCACUAACGUCUGUGACAUUGCUAUAAUGGCAACAAAGCUGGAGGCAACCCAGAUGUCCAUGGGAGGAAGAACAGCCAGCCACAGGAAGACCCAGUCCUGGCAGCUCAGCACGCAGCCCAGGAACAGGAGAACAAAGCUGCAGAUACACAGUUGGGAAAGGUCACCGAGAUGCUUUGAUAAUUGAGAAGAGAAAUGCUCAGGAGCCGGCGUGGACUUUCCGUCCCCUUUGUAUUAAAAGUGCAGUGUUGGGGAGGUAAUGCUGUAUAUUUCUGUUUGCAAGCAAUCUUUGGAGAGUGUUGCAUAACAAAAGAUUUAUCAGGUCUUUGUCCUGGGUCCUUGGAGGAAGCUUCUAAACACUGGGGGUUUCCCAAAA
Non-coding RNA from Macaca mulatta (Rhesus monkey), 549 nucleotides. The record is from RefSeq and is a predicted model, not a curated record. Lineage: Eukaryota; Metazoa; Chordata; Mammalia; Primates; Cercopithecidae.